This 174-nucleotide ribosomal RNA is filed under the name uncultured Actinoplanes sp. Its description in RNAcentral is "partial 16S ribosomal RNA". It matches the Rfam family "Bacterial small subunit ribosomal RNA", at positions 338 to 524 of the family's 1533-position model. Lineage: Bacteria; Bacillati; Actinomycetota; Actinomycetes; Micromonosporales; Micromonosporaceae. The record is from RNAcentral.
CCUACGGGAGGCAGCAGUGGGGAAUCUUGCGCAAUGGGCGAAAGCCUGACGCAGCGACGCCGCGUGGGGGAUGAAGGCCCUCGGGUCGUAAACCCCUUUCGGCAGGGACGAAGCGAUCGUGACGGUACCUGCAGAAGAAGCUCCGGCUAACUACGUGCCAGCAGCCGCGGUAAU